CACCUGCACUAUUUGACGUUACCUACAGAAGAAGCACCGGCUAACUCCGUGCCAGCAGCCGCGGUAAUACGGGAGGGUGCGAGACGUUAAGUACGGUAAUUACGUGGGACGUAAAGCGCAUGCAGGCGGCCUAGUUAAGUCAGAUGUAGAAACGGCCCGGGGACCUUUAACCGUACGGUAAGUUGCUAUUUAGUAAACGUGGCGAGGCUAGAGUCUUGUAGAGGGGGGUAGGAAUUUCAGGUGUAGCGGUGAAAUGCGUAGAGAUCUGAAGGAAUACCAGUGGCGAAGGCGGCCCCCUGGACAAAGACUGACGCUCAGAUGCGAAAGCGUGGGGAGCAAACAGGAUUAGAUACCCUGGUAG
This 361-nucleotide ribosomal RNA is filed under the name uncultured bacterium. RNAcentral's name for it is "bacterial SSU rRNA". It matches the Rfam family "Bacterial small subunit ribosomal RNA", at positions 457 to 793 of the family's 1533-position model. The record is from RNAcentral.